GCGGAAGUGGCGAAAUUGGUAGACGCGCUGGAUUUAGGUUCCAGUACCGAAAGGUGUGAGAGUUCGAGUCUCUCUUUCCGCACCA
Molecule: transfer RNA, 85 nt
Filed under: Flavobacteriaceae bacterium
Lineage: Bacteria; Pseudomonadati; Bacteroidota; Flavobacteriia; Flavobacteriales; Flavobacteriaceae
Description: tRNA-Leu
Rfam family: tRNA
About the family: Transfer RNA (tRNA) molecules are approximately 80 nucleotides in length.
Source: RNAcentral